Molecule: long non-coding RNA, 1004 nt
Filed under: Sarcophilus harrisii (Tasmanian devil)
Lineage: Eukaryota; Metazoa; Chordata; Mammalia; Dasyuromorphia; Dasyuridae
Description: lncRNA (ENSSHAG00000028420.1)
Source: RNAcentral
UAUUUUUCAGCAUUGACAAUUGCAAAACCUUUUGUUUCAACUUUUCCCCUCCCUUCCUCCAAACCCUUCCCCCAGAUGGCAGGUUGACCAAUACAUGUUAAAUAUGUUAAAUACAAUACAUGUCCAUACAGUUAUUUUGCUGUACAAAAAGAAUAGGACUCUGAAAUAGUGUACAAUGAGCCUGUGAAGGAAAUAAAAAAUGCAGGCAGACGAAAAUAGAAGGAUUGGGAAUUCUAUGUAGUGGUUCAUAGUCAUCUAGAGUUCUUUUGCUGGGUGUACCUGAUUCAAUUCAUUACUGCUCUAUUGGAACUGAUUUGGUUCAUCUCAUUGUUGAAGAGGGCCACAUCCAUCAGAAUUGAUCAUCAUAUAGUAUUGUUGUUGAAGUAUAUAAUGAUCUCCUGGUCCUGCUCAUUUCACUCAGCAUAGGCUUUUCUUAAUUACUUAUUACUUCUCACUUAUUACUUCUAAGGUCAAGAUCAGAACCUUCUGGUUAGCAUUUAGAGCCCUUAAUUACCUGACCCUGAUUUACCUUUUCAAUCUUUUUAGAUUCAGGAAGACUACAGUUCAGGAAAACUCCAUUCCAGACAAACUGACCUCCUCACUGUUCUUUAGAAGGCAAAUUCCCAUCUCCAAUUUCUGGGACUUUACUCUGUGUCUAGAAUCUCUUUACUUCUCACCUUGUCUUGUAGAAUGCCUAGUGUUCUUCAAGGCUCAACUCAGUAUCAUCCUCUAUACGAAACUUGUACCAAUCUCAAUUGCUAGUGCCUUCCUCAUGCCAGUUACCUUUUAUUUACUGUCUAUAUAUUUAGAGACCUAGGUACAUGUUAUUAGCUUUCCCAUAUCCUCCACUAAAUUGUAAGCUUCUCAAGGAAAUUGUUUCACCUUUGUUUUCAUAGCCCUAGCACCUCGCACUGUGCCUGCAUAUAGUACAAAAACUAAAUCAGUACUGAUUGACUGACCUUAGUCAAUAAAAUGCUUUUCAGCUACUUUAAGUAUUUUACUAA